Molecule: ribosomal RNA, 406 nt
Filed under: uncultured bacterium
Lineage: Bacteria
Description: partial 16S ribosomal RNA
Rfam family: Bacterial small subunit ribosomal RNA
Source: RNAcentral
AUUGAACGCUGGCGGCAGGCCUAACACAUGCAAGUCGAACGAGUGGCGGACGGGUGAGUAAUGACUGGGAAACUGCCUGAUGGAGGGGGAUAAAUACUGGAAACGGUAGCUAAUACCGCAUACCAUCAGAUGUGCCCAGAUGGGAUUAGCUUGUUGGGUGGGUAACGGAUCACCAAGGAGACGAUCCCUAGCAGGUCUGAGAGGAUGACCAUCCACUCCGGAAUGUAGACACGUUCCAGACUCCGCCGGCAGGCAGCAGUGGGGAAGCUUGCACAAUGGGCGAAAGCCUGAUUCAGCCAUGCCGCGUGUAUGAAGAAGGCCUUCGUGUUGUAAAGUACUUUCAGCGGGGAGGCGUUACCCGCAGAAGAAGCACCGGCUAACUCCGUGCCAGCAGCCGCGGUAAUAC